Molecule: long non-coding RNA, 607 nt
Organism: Mus caroli (Ryukyu mouse)
Lineage: Eukaryota; Metazoa; Chordata; Mammalia; Rodentia; Muridae
Source: RefSeq, a predicted model, not a curated record
GAACAAACACGGAUGAAUCGGAAUGGGUGUGCAGAAGCCGGCAUGGAAGAAGAUCAAUGCUCGUUGGAGUUUUCUAUUGAGACUGACAAUGAGGUGGCCUCUGGAGACUCUGUAAAAAUUGCUCAGUUGACCAAGGCUUAACCCUAGAGGCUAAGAUUCAACAGAAAAAACCCUACAGAAGAGCUUCUUCCAGAGGGUGAAUGAUGCUCACGAACAACCACACAAAGCCAUAGGAUAGAAAGAGAACUGUCUUCUUUCUGCUCUUGUACACCCUUGGCUCCAUGCCCCACACACAGUCUGUGCCCCAUCCUUCCAGGGAGGAAAUCAGCAGCUUGUGAAAUCAAUCCCACCCGGACAGGGUGCCCUGUCACUGAAUGCCGAUGCCUAAGAGCCUCCUAGUCCAAAGACAGGGCUGGUGACUCAGCAGUCACACAAAUGCAAGGACUUUCUGCUCUGCAGGCCCUGCCUCACAUCCUCAGUGACUUCCACAGAGAAGGGCUACGGGUCGGUCCCAUCUGAGGGUGACAUUGUCUCCUUUGCCCUAGGGGACAUUUGCCCAUGUCUAGAGACAUUAUUGGUGGUCAAAAAUGAAGGAGUUCUGGGCUGA